Mus musculus (house mouse) is the source of this 224-nucleotide long non-coding RNA. RefSeq annotates it as predicted gene, 41256. The record is from RefSeq and is a predicted model, not a curated record. The transcript is spliced from 3 exons. NCBI's taxonomy places the organism in Eukaryota, Metazoa, Chordata, Mammalia, Rodentia, Muridae.
AAGUUGCUGACAGCCUGUAGCUGAGCAGAUAAGUGCACCUCAGGAACGAUUCGUAUGUAUUUCCAUGUCUGGCCACCAUUUUGACCCAUAGCCUUGACUCACUUGGACUACAGUUUCUGUCUGCUGACACUGAGGAAAUACUUCACAGAAGAUUUUACCUCAAUGAUGCAGAUCCCUUACUAACACGAGCAUUCUCAUCUUCCAAGCUCCCGCACAAACAGCCC